UCAUAUUUUUGUUCAUUGUAGGUUAAUUUCAGAGGUAAACCGGCUUUGGCAGUCAGAACAGCAAAAUACUCCAUCUAAACGGGAAUUGAUUCUCAAUUGCGAUACGGUUCUAGGAACAUAAUGCACAUACACCGUUUUAACCGGCUUCACAGUUGCUGCCGAGAGUAUUUUUCGGCUACAACACGUUUCUGGCGGCAUUCUUCCAUUACACACUAAUUGUGUUAGAUUGCUAAAUAGCACAGGUGGUCGCCUCAGUCUUCCGUCAACACGCGAAGUAACAUGGAGAUAUGGCCGUGUGGGGAGACGAAUAUAAAAGGUACAAUUUCACUAUCGUGAGAAUGGCCGGGACAGGUGUGAACAGCAGUUAUCCUGGGAGUGCACCAGCGGCUACUGUAAUGGCAGUGCCAACCGACAAGGACCUGUCGUGCAAACCACCGACAAGGACCAGUCCGGCCAAAACCUCUGGUGCCAGUCAGAGGGACACUUCACUAGAAACUUCACUAGGGACCAGAAAAGCCAAUCCUACACCCUGAGUGACUCCGGUUGCUGUUGGGGCUCCAAUGUCAAUGGAAAGACCAACUGGACAAUACACACCGAGGUGGAUUUGGGGUUACGGGUCAGCCCGGGGCCUCCAACCCAAAACACACCUCCUGUCACGGCAACUGUCCCAACCCUGCGAGUUCCUCAGAACUGCUUCUCCACUCUUCCUCUCUUAACCUAUGACCCGGAUGGAGAUGACGUGAGGUGCCACUUCCCUGUGAACGUCACACACCCCAACAUUACACUUGACAGGGUAAUAAAAUAAACAAUGUCCCUCCCUGCAGAUUAAUGUAGAUGCAAUCGAGCCCGUUUAUUAACGGUUUAGUGCAUGGGGUAUUAUUAAGUUAGCUAAAAUCAGAUUGGUUGAAGAAUUGUUUCCGACUUCAAAGGC
Salvelinus fontinalis (brook trout) is the source of this 931-nucleotide long non-coding RNA. RefSeq lists it as uncharacterized. The transcript has 4 exons. NCBI's taxonomy places the organism in Eukaryota, Metazoa, Chordata, Actinopteri, Salmoniformes, Salmonidae. The record is from RefSeq and is a predicted model, not a curated record.